AGAUGAAGCCUUUACUUUAAUUUUGUGCUAAGCAAGUGAUGGGAGGUACCGUGAAAGUGAAAAUGAAAAUUUUUGUGAACAUUUACUGCAAAACCAAAGUUUAAAUUGGAUGUUUGGUGCAUUAAACGAUGGGUGGUUUUAGUGCACUGUAAUACGUUCCAUUCGAUGAAGUCAAAUUAUUUAAACUGUUGAGCUUAGUUUGAAAUGUUCUCUAAAAUUUUAGCGGAAUUUGGGGCAAGUGUGCCACUUUAAGCAUUUCAUGUUAUAACUCACUAAAACGUGUUUGUCAAAAGCCGAUUUAAAUCUCAUAACCAUUUUACAUCUAUUUCCUCACUUAUAAAUGAGUUUCACUUGAAAAAAGUGCAAACAAAACUGUUUUUGAAGCGUUUUUAAAAGGGUCUAAAAAGACGUUGUUUUGACGUUGACGGGCAAGAGCGCCACUCGUAUGGGGCAAGACGGCCACCUGGUUAAAAUAAACGUAUUUCUUAGAUAAUUGAAAAUAGUUACGUUUGUGUCUCUAGUGUAUGUAUUCCUACAUGUCUUGAGUCACCAAUGAACCCUUUUUGACCACCAACUGUACCUUAGUAUGGUUUGUUACUGUUCUGUUUUUCUGGGGUGGAAUCCGCUCACAACAGUGCACCAUUCCGCAGCACGCUACAACAAUGUUUACAUUUUAGACAGCACGCACCUAUGAAAGAUGGUGACACACUUGCCCCAGAUGGAGGUGGCUCUUUUGCUCCAAAAGUUGUAACUUUUUUUGAAAUUAGAUUUUUCAGUGACAAAACGAAAGUUUUUUUCAACUAACCCCAAAACAAAAUUUCACGUUUUCUCAGGUUAACGGUGGUGUAAAUAUUUUCUCGGUUGAUUGUUCCAAUGAUUUUUGAGAGCUUAUUUUGUUUGAUUAAAAGAUUUUAAUAUUCUGCUCAAUUUUGAAACGCAACAUAAAUCAGUUCAAAACAAUUGGAAAUAUCGAUUGAUCUAUAUGAAUGAUCUAUAUGAUCUAUAUUCGGCUCAAUAUACCUAGUCAUUGGAACGCAACAAACUGUGUACACAAUUGAUCAUUUAACUAAAGUUUUUUAUGGAAAAAAUGCUUGGUGGCACUCUUGCCCCUAUGGCACACUUGCCCCAAAUUCCGCUAUUGGUGGUUUUCUGUUUCGUAGCGGUUAAAAUUUCCAUUACAGUGGAACCCCUCAUAACGAGUACCUCUUACUAAGAGCUUUUCCCAUAACUAGCCAAUCUAAAUGCUCAACAAAUGCAUUUUUAAAAUCGACUAAAAUCUCGCAUAACGAGCAAUGCCAUUUGAUUGCAGGAUGCGUUUUUGAUUGUCAGAUGUCGUGAUGUGAAAUCCAAAUCACGAUAGGUUAACAUUGAGCAUUUCUUUAAUUUAGAUUAUCGCUCAGGCAACAUGAUUCGAUACUUGUUUGUAUUGCCAGAAGGAGAAAUGUCGCAUCAUUGUAGGAUGUAGUGUGUGGUCUAUUGACGAGUGUGGCUGCCAAAAUAUUUAUCGUAAUAUUUGAAAAUUAAAUUCGUGCUGAAGAAUGCAGUGGAAACCCUUCAUAAAGCCGUACAACGAGAUUUUCGCAUAACGAGUCAAUCUAAAUGCUCUAUGAAUAGCCCUCUUAACGAAUAAAAUCUCGCAUAACGAGCAAUUGCUCGCAAAACUCUUUUUAAAUCAGAUAGCAGUUCAGUUCAAUUUCAUUGCUCCAGUUCCUUCCGGCUUAUUUGACAAUAUUGGAGGCUCUCUGCGGCUUCGGCAGUGGAAGUGGACAGGAAGUAGAUUUUAGUGUAUAAUGUACCUCGCUGUGUGUUUCACAAGUGUGAAUUGUAUUGAUAAGGGUGUUCUGGCACGAAUUCUUGAUCUACUUGCUCGUGAAGGCGAACUGGAGCUGCAACCCAUGCUUAACGCGGGCUUAAGAAUUGAUCAACCAUUACUGUUACCGCUUGAAGGUGUUCAUAUAGUCAUUAUAGAGUAAUUGGAAGGGAUGAAACUCGUUAUGAGAACCACUGUACUUACCACAAAUGUUCGAUUGUGAUGAUAAAAAAAAUGAUGAAAAAGUUUACCUAACUAUGACUAACAGUUGUGUGUUGCCAACAACCUCUUCCUAAAUAGAAACCGAUAUAGCACAACACAUAUUUAUUUAUUUAUUUAUUUAUUUAUUUAUUUAUUUAUUUAUUAAUUUUUAUUUUACUAAUUGCUCGGCCACGUUGGGUUACAGCAAUAUUGCCGAUAUACAAGCAACGUGUACAAAACAAUAGAAAAUGGCAAUUUCGGGAGAUAUUGAAGAAAAGACUAAACCAAUCGACCAAACAUCGUAAAAAGAAAAUGAUUCAAAAAUAAUUGCAAAGCAAUAUGUUGCCAACGAUAAGUAUUAUGAAGACAUUGGUAAUUUUUUAGGAGCAUGUAUGGCCUUUAUAGCAGCACAUUUGCGAUGCUGGCACCAAUUACAGGGUUUCGCACAAUUUAUUCGGUUUGUAUAAUCCAUAAGGUCGGUUUCCAUAAUUUGUAGUUGUAUAAUCCAUAAGUUGUAGUGUUGGAUAAAUCUGAUUCAGAUUCAUGAAUCAGAGUGAAUCUUUGUUGGACAGAUUCAUGAAUCUCAAAGAUUCGUUGAUCUCUAAAGAUUCAUGGAUCUCACAUUUUCAUGAGUCUCAAAAGAUGCAUAAAACUAGAAAGAACUAUGAAUCUCAUAAGAUUCAUGUAUCUCGAAAGAUGCACGAAUCUCUAAGGAAUCAUAAAUCUCUAAAAAUGCAUAGAGCUUCUUAAUAUUCUUGCCAUAACAACCUACGUGAUCAUGCCAGCCUUAAGAGGCUUUUUAGACUGGUUGGCAUGUUCAAAACAGCAGGAUAAUUUGUUUUGCUACGGACAGAUGGCUCAUGCAAGGCUUGUACCCACGAAAGCCAUUUUGUUAAGUCGUGCGAGUUAGCCACUGUUCCACUUAGGCAUGGGCAAAACGAUUCUUUUCACCGAACGCGAACGAACUAGUUCGCUCACCAAAAAGAACCGAACGUGAACGACGAUUCUUUCGUUCUUUUUUUCAUGGGGUUUUUAUUCACAAAGAACAUUCGUUAUUUUUUUCAUUUACCCACCAUAGAUGCAUACUGUAGCCAAAGAAGUACUCAUUCUGCGGUUGAAACCAAUCAUUUAAAAACAUUAAAUAAAUCAGCCCAUCUGCUGUCUGGUCAACACAAUCUAUCGCAAAACCGACCAAAAACUAGCAUGUAAAAAACUAAUACGAGCAAAAAUGUCUCCAGCAUAUAUUGUACCCUAUGUCUUAUACACACUCAAGGAUUCUAUAAAAAAAAAACUACUUAAACAUGGAUAAACAUGAUGAGCGCAAUCAAUUCAGUUCAGUUCAUUCGCGAACAAUGACUAAUGCGUUUGAACGGGCUCGAUCUAUUGAAUUGUAUAGGUAUAAUUUACACACCAACAGAACACAGAUCGAACACCAGUUCGAACGCGUUCGAUGAAUUCAGUUGUGUAGGUACGAUUUCCACACCAACAGAACACAGAUCGAACACCAGUUCGAACGCGUUCGAUGAAUUCAGUUGUGUAGGUACGAUUUCCACACCAACAGAACACAGAUCGAACACCAGUUCGAACGCGUUCGAUGAAUUCAGUUGUGUAGGUACGAUUUACAUACCAACAGAACACAGAUCGAACACUAACCGAUCAGAUCGAACGCGUUCGAUGAAUUCAGUUGUGUAGGUACGAUUUACACACCAACAGAACACGUAUCGAACACUGCUGAACAAAUUCGACGGCGUUCGAGGAAUUGAGUUGUAUGGGUACGAUUUCAACACCAACAGGGUACAUUUUGAUCUCUGACGACCCGUUCGCACGGUGCGAGAAAGAGCGAGAAAGCAAUAUGAUUUUGCACGUUUCAUUACCACAUUUAUGUGUGCCGUCAAACACU
Molecule: long non-coding RNA, 3911 nt
Organism: Anopheles coluzzii
Lineage: Eukaryota; Metazoa; Arthropoda; Insecta; Diptera; Culicidae
Exons: 2
Source: RefSeq, a predicted model, not a curated record